UGCCCGGAUGGUGAAAUUGGCAGACACGCUAGUUUCAGGUACUAGUGCUCGCAAGGGCUUGGGAGUUCAAGUCUCCCUCCGGGCAG
This 86-nucleotide transfer RNA is filed under the name Termitinemataceae bacterium. RNAcentral's name for it is "tRNA-Leu". It matches the Rfam family "tRNA". Rfam says of the family: Transfer RNA (tRNA) molecules are approximately 80 nucleotides in length. The record is from RNAcentral. Lineage: Bacteria; Pseudomonadati; Spirochaetota; Spirochaetia; Spirochaetales; Termitinemataceae.